Lepidothrix coronata (blue-crowned manakin) is the source of this 4733-nucleotide long non-coding RNA. RefSeq lists it as uncharacterized. NCBI's taxonomy places the organism in Eukaryota, Metazoa, Chordata, Aves, Passeriformes, Pipridae. The transcript is spliced from 3 exons. The record is from RefSeq and is a predicted model, not a curated record.
CCGUCGCGGCCUGUUGUGGGGCCGAGCGCGGGCGGGAGCGAGGAUGUCUGAGUCAGAGCUGCAUCCUCCGAUGAACGAAUGCCAAAACUCCCUCCUCGGCCGCUCUCCCCCACCCCGACCUCCGGCUUCUUCCUCACGACCGUCGAUGCUCUCGGCAUGCAUGUUCUUUGUGAACCUUAAACUGAGCCCAUUUUCGCCACAAGCUGCGCGAAAAGCCGGACAGACCCGCCGGAUCUCACACACGCAGAGGAACUUACUGAGGGGCGGGGAAGAGGGGGGCGAGCAAAGAGCGGGAGCUUUGGCCGAGACCCGCUCAGGAGGUUUUGACUGAAUCUCUCAGUAAGACACUCGAGGCUGAGAAUCUUCCCCGAAGCGUUUAGGAUUCAUAUAUAAGGCAAGUGGGAGAGAGCUUCUUUCCUUAAAGCAAGUGGGACAGCACAACGCGUUUUGCGGGGAACGAGACGAGCAGCGAACGAGCCUCGUUUGCCCUUUAGGGAACGGCGCUCAGGAGCAGGAAUAGCGUGCUUCCAUCCGGACCAGCGGCGCUGGCAAAGCCAGGAGCUCGCUCAGCGUUUCGGGGCAGAUGCAGCUUCUGCCAUUUAUACCAAGCCCUUCUUCCUGCCACCAUAUCUCCUCCCAGGUCCCUGCUCUGCCCGCACGCCGCCCUGUCUCCCCUGCCCGACUUCAGCCCCUCCAGCGAUACGGCUGAUUGAGGGAGGGGAGGCGGCGGCUGGGGUUUCAUUCGACGCCCACCAGGGGCUGAGCGAGCCUCCUUCAGUGCGCAAACUCGGGGCACCAGAUAAAAGCUGGGCUGGCAGCUCUUACCCUGCCUCGAUGGAGCCGCAACAUUCGGGUGACUGGAGAAGCAGUUAGCAGCAGCGCCAUAGACUAGCGUCCCCCCACACCUUGAGCACAGAGAGUUUGGGGCUCUAAACAGCUGCUGCUGCGGCAGGAGGGAGCCGAGGGCGCUUGGCUGGGGCUGCUCGCUCGGGUUCUGCCUGUUGUUGCGCGAAAUGGCGGCUGGCGUCUUGGUCACAGAAAUGCCACAGUGUGAUGUGUCUGUAGAGGGCAAGUAAUGGCUGUGAAGUGUUUUCAAGCAAAAAGAAAAUGCUGUGGAAAUGCACAGAAUUAAUGUUGCUAUGUAAAUUUAAUGGGAGUUACCACCCAUCACAGCAACUGUGUGGAUACAACAAAAUGGAUCAAAUAAAGGGUUUGUACGUAUUUUGAAGUCACUAAAUUUCAGUAUUUGCUUGUACCUACCUGAUGGCAUACUUGAAUUUGAUCCAGUAAAGACUAGAAAUUCCUUUAGCCCACAAGUAGAAUUUUUCAGGGUCUGGGACUGAAAACACACUUGAGCACGAGCAGUUUUGGGGGAUCAGAUUGUAAGAAUUGUUUCCAGAAGAGCAGGUCCAGUCUUAGAAGUUUUCAGUCCGCUCUGGAGGCCAUCUACCAUGAGUGGUUAACUGCUUUGUUCAGUACGAGGGACCAUCUCAUGACCAUACCUGAUGCUGUGUGAAAAAUAGUCCAGACUGCCGUUUGGGAAUCUGCAGACUACUGGGGGGAGGGGGAAAGGAAGAACCUUUCCUUUGCCCAGGGAACUCUGUCCUUCCUUUUUCUUUUCCUGAAGAGGAUGGGGAAAGGCUCCAGGCAGAGAUAAAGAAGGAAAGUUUUCUGAGUAAUUGAGUAUUCUGCAAAGUACUGGAUGAAGCCCUUCAAAAGGCACAGGACUUCACUUGAGUGGUUUGCAUAGCUGAAAUAGCUAAUGUAAAUGAAUUCAGAGACAAAUCUCCUUAGCAAAAUCAGCCAUUCCUGAGCACAGAAUGUUGUCAGUAAUAAUUUGAGCAAAGUGUGUGGUCAUUGUUGUUCUUUUGUGAACCCUACCUACCUUAAAAUAUCAACAAAAGGCUCCUUGUGGCUGCGCAGCUUAACCUCAGUGUUUGAAAAUCUGGCAGUGCCAUGUCUGAUGUAGCUGCUGGUGAGAGAUCAUUUGCAAAUUUACUCCUAAACACAUUGUAAAAGGCUGAAUCCAAAUUGAUGCUUCACAUCCUGUUCAUCUUGUGUUUCACAGUAGGUGUGUGUGUAUGCUUUUCCCUAAAAUACACAAUAGUAAGUAUGACAUAACUGAAAAGUAGCAUCUUGCAUUUACAGGAAGAAGGGAGGGGGCAGGUAAGAGGGUGUAUGUAGCAGAGCUGCUGGCUUGCAGCAGUCCUUACUCAGUAUUGCAGCAGUUAAUUCCUGUCUUUUACAAAAUGAAUUGUUUAAAUUCCAUAUAAAAUGCUUUCCUAGACGUGCUAGGAGCCAACUCUGAGCUCUGACUAUUGCCACAUUCUGUCCUUGCAUGCAAGAUUAUCUUUACAGAUAAGCAUGAAUAGAGUUCAAAUGAAUCUAUCAAUAAUCAGUGGAAAGGAUGUCAUAAUGUGAAGUCUGAUACUGUAUAAAAAUAUACAAGUCCUUGAAAACAUGUGUUUGGAAAGGAACUGCUUUAUUCUUAACAUAGCUGCAGGUCUGGCAGCAACAGCUCAUGAAGAGGUGUGGGAAUUAGCUGAACAGACUCCCUGCUGGCAGGGAGGGCUGGGAGGCUGUAUACUACCAAUAGGAGACUGACUCCUCAUCUUUAAGUCCCUUUGGGUAAAGGAUGGUAAAUUAUUUUUCUUUGCUGAUGAAACACGUUGUGAGGCAAAGCCACAAUCGAGAAGAAAAAAAAUAAGUGUUUACUGGAAAUAAGAUCUUAAAUAAAUAAAGUCAAAGGAAAUAUGGUAUGUAAGAUUUCAAUUUUAGUUUGUCAUAAUCUCUUAGAUUUAUCACAAUGGGUUCAGCUAAAAGAAGAUAUAUGAGGAAGGUGGGGAGAGGAAGAGAUGGCUGAAGAUGAAACGCACGUUUUUAAUUACUCCAUUGCUAAUUCUCUGAUUUGGAUCUGCUUAUAAUUAAGUUAAACUAUUUUCAGUGGAAUUUUUCUUUGAAGUAUUUGCAGCAAUGCAGAGUAUGUGUGGUACUGUGCUGAGUCUAAAGAAAGGGCAGACAGAAAUACUCCCUUGUUCUGUGAAUGGCACAGUCUCUAUAAGGACUCCCAUGACUAUUAGCAGGCACUUUUUCCAAAAUCUACUUUUUUACAGCAUCAGUUAUGUGAAACUUAUAAAGCUCUCUGUAAUGAUGCCCUCUGGUGACUCUGAGAAUUUUUGCACUAGAAUGAAAUAAAAAGCAAGAUGGAAUUUGGCCUGGUACUAUGAAAGUACUCUGGCAAGUUGGACUAUUCGUUAAAGAUUAAUGAGCAAAUUAGAGCUCUUCGAGUUCAACCAGGCAAUAUACUCAAGCCAUACACAUACAGAAGUCCAGGACACACUCCAAGUAUUGUAGGAGCAGAGCUGAAAUGUGUAAGGUAGUCUCUCCCUCUGCCAUGCAAGUAAUCUCUUGUACAUUCAUGAUAAAAAGAAACCUGCCUUUUGGCACUGCACACUGAUAAUUUAUUUUCUAGUGCUUAGAGAAAAGAAAAUUAAAAGAUUAAAAAAAAUUCUCAAGCUUUUCUUGAUGCAGAGAAUAUGGAGGAUGUUAAUUAAUUAUAUGAAAUCUUAGAAAUAAACCAGCUGUGCAAAAGAAUGCCUUUUGUGUAUUUUACACUUAAUGUGGCUGCUACACAGUCUCUGGAAAACUGAUUUCUACCAUGCACUCUUUCCUCUCCUGGAUAUUUUUUUUUAUACACACAAUCUGUACCUCUAAUGUUUCUACGUUUACUGCCCAUCAUUUCCCAUCAUACAGACAUACGUGACUAGUAUUGCACUGACUCUGGAGCUCAUGUGUUCCUUAUUCUGCUCUGGUUGAAAAGGAUUCUUUAUUUACAGUGUUGUGUUAUUUUACGGCCAGAUCCAUGAUCAUGUAGUGUCUGCAAGGAAACAAGUAUGUGUGGCUGGGCAUGGGUGUGGAGUAGGUGUGGGCACCCCCUUCAGUAUCACUUCUGUUUUAAAUCAUGGCUAGGAAGUUAUGUCCUAAGAAAUAUGGAUGCAGCACUGGCAAGGCAAGUAACCCAACAGAAAGCCAUCCACAAGCAGAUACAAGCAAGGUAAUUAAUAGGGGAUAAACAGAAAAAAACCCAAAACAAUCCCUCCUCCCCCCCCAAACCUGUUGUAAUAAAUUUUUAUGAGGUGUGAACUAUUAUCUUUCAUCUUUAUUAACUGAAUUCCCAAAUUAGGCACAUACUUCUGAUAACUGUAUCAAGCUAAGUAACUCCUCUGCUUUUAAGCAGUGUUCCCCCAUGCCAUGCUUGGAAGAGGAUGCAUCUCCUCCCAUUCAUGUCCUUUGCCAAACAACCCCUUAGGCACAGUGUAGAUCAACUGGCUUUAAUGGAUAUUUUCUCUAAGAAAAACUAAAGGAGUAAACAAAAUAUUUGUUUUGACAAGAUGUCUACUUUGAUCAAAAUGUUAAGAUCAGGAGGUACAAGUAUGAUUUUAUCCUCACUUCCCAAAUAAUCUGUAGAAUCUUCACUAACUUCUUAAUUAAAUCAGUUAUUUACCUUUCAAGUGCAGUCUGUAUUUUAGGAAAAUAACUUGUGUUGAUUUUACAGGCCGUUUAGUAUCUGUAGAGGAGCUCGUCCUGUUGUUUUGAGGCCCAGUAAUACGUCGUGAAAGGAUUGUUUUUCUCUACUAACAUUUGCAGUGUUUCACUAUAUGUGUCUUGCAGUCACACAGUGCUUCCUCCUGGCCCAGUCAGUUACCCAGGUUCUUCUAGGAGAAUAAACCCAU